This 125-nucleotide microRNA precursor is filed under the name Oryza glaberrima (African rice). RNAcentral's name for it is "pre miRNA MIR529". RNAcentral also lists the same sequence under 1 other name. The record is from RNAcentral. Lineage: Eukaryota; Viridiplantae; Streptophyta; Magnoliopsida; Poales; Poaceae.
UGCUUAAGGGGGUGUUUGGGUGGGAGAGACUAAACUUUAGUCCAUCUAAAAAAUAAAUCCUUAUGGAGGGACUUAUUUUUUUUGUGAGAAAAUUUAGUCCCUCCCACCCAAACACCCCCUAAAUG